RNAcentral lists this ribosomal RNA (489 nucleotides) under uncultured bacterium. Its description in RNAcentral is "bacterial SSU rRNA". It matches the Rfam family "Bacterial small subunit ribosomal RNA", at positions 28 to 509 of the family's 1533-position model. The record is from RNAcentral.
GACGAACGCUGGCGGCGUGGAUUAGGCAUGCAAGUCGAACGGUAUCAUCCUUUCGGGGAUGAGAGAGUGGCGAACGGGUGAGUAACACGUAGGUGAUCUACCCUCAAGACGGGGACAACCCAGGGAAACUUGGGCUAAUACCGGAUGUGAGCUAUCGUGAGAUAGUUUGAAAGGUGGCUUCGGCUGCCGCUUGAGGAUGAGCCUGCGUCCUAUUAGCUAGUUGGUGAGGUAACGGCUCACCGAGGCAGUGAUAGGUAGGCGGCCUUAACGGGUGGUCGCCCACACUGGGAUUGAGAUACGGCCCAGACUCCUACGGGAGGCAGCAGUCGAGAAUAGUCUACAAUGGUCGGAAGACUGAUAGUGCGACGCCGCGUGAACGAUGAAUCCCUUCGGGUGUAAAGUUCUUUUAUAUGUGAGCAGUGCUUCUUAUAUUAACAGUAUGGGGAGAGAGAUAUUAGCAUAUGAAUAAGCAACGGCUAACUCCGUGCC